GCUCGUGUCGUGAGAUGUUGGUUAAGUCCCGCAACGAGCGCAACCCUCGACCUUAGUUGCCAGCAUUCAGUUGGGCACUCUAAGGUGACUGCCGGCUAAAAGUCGGAGGAAGGUGGGGAUGACGUCAAAUCAUCAUGCCCCUUAUGACCUGGGCUACACACGUGCUACAAUGGGCGGUACAAAGGGUCGCGAACCCGCGAGGGGGAGCCAAUCCCAAAAAGCCGCUCUCAGUUCGGAUUGCAGGCUGCAACUCGCCUGCAUGAAGCCGGAAUCGCUAGUAAUCGCGGAUCAGCAUGCCGCGGUGAAUACGUUCCCGGGCCUU
Molecule: ribosomal RNA, 322 nt
Filed under: uncultured Anoxybacillus sp.
Lineage: Bacteria; Bacillati; Bacillota; Bacilli; Caryophanales; Anoxybacillaceae
Description: bacterial SSU rRNA
Rfam family: Bacterial small subunit ribosomal RNA
Source: RNAcentral